This is a long non-coding RNA of Pseudophryne corroboree (corroboree frog), 572 nucleotides long. RefSeq lists it as uncharacterized. NCBI's taxonomy places the organism in Eukaryota, Metazoa, Chordata, Amphibia, Anura, Myobatrachidae. The transcript has 2 exons. The record is from RefSeq and is a predicted model, not a curated record.
GUUUCCUAGUAACGUGGGUAACGCUUCCCGAUUGGCUCAGACUGUCUGGCGCCGGCUGUUGACGUCAUCUUCCUGAAACCCACAUUCAGUGCGGCUGGACGCGGCGGGAACGGCGGCGCCGAACAGGUUCUUAGAAAACCAGGUCGAGGAGGAUGACAAAUUCAGGAAUGUGAUCUUCCCCUGGGUCCUUGGCUAGACAGGAGAGAAGAAGAAGGAGCAUCUACACAGCAGAAGAAACAUCUAUCUGAGGAGAAUGGGAUUCAGAGCCGUGGUGCAUCGGCCCACCUGUGAUCUGGCUAGUAAUAAUUAGGGAUAAGAGACUUGUUUUGGACCUGGCAGUUAAAAAAGAAGUUAAACUAUACAGAUUCACUGUUUCACUUUAAGGGUCUAAAUUUAUGCUAGCACCUGAAAUUAUUUAUGUAGUGUUUGGGUCUACUAUAUGGAAACCUAUAUGGUUGCAGGGAAGCCUUUUAGAUCUUUAUAAAGUCUCUCCCCUUCACAGCUCAGGUAUAAGUGUGAAUUAACUUUUUUUUUUUAUUCUGGAAAAUCAAUUUAAACAGCAUAUAACAUUU